Molecule: non-coding RNA, 1238 nt
Organism: Camellia sinensis
Lineage: Eukaryota; Viridiplantae; Streptophyta; Magnoliopsida; Ericales; Theaceae
Source: RefSeq, a predicted model, not a curated record
GGAUGGGUUAUUGAAGGGUGGAUGGGUUGUAAAUUAUAGGGAUUUAAGGGUUUCAAAAAUUGCUACAAAAGGUAGUGAUUUGAGAUUGAAGACACAAAAUUUUGGGGUUGUUCUUACACCCUUCAAUUCUUUAUCUUAAAUUUCCUUUUUUUGAUAAGUAAACAAUUUUAGAAACCGGGGCCCCUAUAGGAAUGCUUCUUGUGUAUAAAAAGAUGCUACUGUGAAAAGGUACUUUUGCACGUCCUUGCAUAUCCAAAAGCUCUACAAAUUCUAUACUUGGUCUAGAUCUAUGGUGUACAUGUUCUUGGAUAUGGUCUUGAAAAGCUUUUAGGAGGUUAGUGUUGUACUAUGAAGUACAGGUACUUUAAAAAUAUUGCCGUAUAAGUACCAGGUACUUAUCAGGUGCGGGUACGUAUAUCGGGUACGCCAAAAACGCACCAAGUAUGUUUUAUAUGAUUAGUAUAAUGAUGGGUACGUGACGGGUACGCAAUCGGUAUGCUACGGGUACAUUUUUGGGUACUUCGGGGUACAAAACAAGAUUUUUUACAAAUUAAAGGGUACCGGAGCAAGUUUUUUGGCCUAUUUAAAAAAAUUAUAUAAAUUUGGGGUACGUUUGUAAUAAACAAAACAUGAAACAAAUUAAAAUUAGGGUUCUACUCUAUUCGAUUGUCUCUCUCUUUUUCUUGAAACACAGUGACUCACAAGAGCUGAAGAACUCCUUCCUGCGAAGCUAUUAAAGAGGUUUAAUCGAAGGUGCUAAUCGAUUCUCUCCUUCAAAGAUCACAUUCCGAUUUUUUUUCUUCUGUUUCUUCGCAGCAAACGAAGGACGAAGACAUAUCAUUUUUCAUUUUUCUUUUUCUCCAGAUUUCUGUUCUGUCCAGAUUUCUGUUUCCUCUUUUUUCAUUUUUUUUUCCAGAUUUUUGUACUCCUUGGCAGCAAACGACCCCCUCCGCUCCAAUGACGACUCCUCUUCUCGUCAGGUGUACUUGUAAGAUGCUUGAAGAUGUCGUUGGUGAACGUUAUAAGGGUGUUUAUGAUUUUAUUAAACUGCCCUUCGAUUUUCAAGCAAGUGACUUUACCUCAGAAGAACAGAGUUAGUUUUGCCUUACAAACUGUGAAUAAUUAUGACUUAUCCUUCUUUUGCUGAAGAACAAAUGCAAUAGGGGUCAUGUAUUCAUCAAUCUGACUGAUCCUGCCUCUGUUAUCCCCUUCUAUCAGGCAUUUAAACGAAUGCAAUG